Molecule: long non-coding RNA, 425 nt
Filed under: Malus domestica (apple)
Lineage: Eukaryota; Viridiplantae; Streptophyta; Magnoliopsida; Rosales; Rosaceae
Description: long non-coding RNA (MDOM_LNC015429)
Source: RNAcentral
AUCUUGUUGCUCAAAUUAUGACAUCACUCCCACUGGCCUUGUUGUAACUUUAGCAUUCAUUCAAAAUUAACAAUUAUAUUUUCUUGAUUUGAAUGCAUAUUGCUCCCACUAAUUUAAAUGAAUCAUACAUAAAAGAAUUCAUUCUCAAGCAAUUCCAUGAAAUGUGUGACUUGCUUUAUCAAAUCUAUUCAUUUAAAUUAUAUGGUGUCAUACACCAUACUUUAAGUUUUAGUCAUACUAAGACCUUUAAUGUAGUCAUAUAAGAAUUAUCUAAGUCUUUAGUGGAAGCAUGGCUCCUACUAAGGAUAUAAAAACUCAAUCAUUCCUUCUAGGUGGUUGAUAUAAUUCUUUAUCAAAACUAAAUAGAGCAAUAUCGUUACAUGAGAUGUUGAAUUUGGAUUGUCUUGUUGUUAAACCAUAUGUUG